RNAcentral lists this transfer RNA (72 nucleotides) under Camelus bactrianus (Bactrian camel). It matches the Rfam family "tRNA". From Rfam's summary of the family: Transfer RNA (tRNA) molecules are approximately 80 nucleotides in length. The record is from Rfam by way of RNAcentral. RNAcentral also lists the same sequence under 1 other name. Lineage: Eukaryota; Metazoa; Chordata; Mammalia; Artiodactyla; Camelidae.
AAGGGCAUAGCUCAGUGGUAGAGUGCAAGCUUAGUGUGCACAAGGUCCUGGGUUCAAUCCCCAGUACCUCUG